UUCUUCCCCCGAGCCAGUGAGGAGGGAAUGAAGUCGGGAGCCGCAGCGCUGUGCCCGGCACUGGGAGGCAGGCUGUUUUUAAAAUCCCGGAUUCACUACAGGAGAUGUUUGAAUGGCCACCAGCUCAAGGUUGGCACCUCCGAAAAUAGGCUGUGUCAUGCUCUAUCAAUCACUAAUUAAGAAAAUGCUCUACAGGCUGGCCCACAUCCUGAUUAAAUAGGAAGCCUGAAGUGGUUUGAGAGCAAAUGGCCCUCAAAGGGAGUGGCACUAUUAGGAGGUGGAGCCUUGUUGGAGUAAGUGUGUUCUUGUUGGAGGAAAUGUGUUACUGUCGACAAGGACUUUGAGGUCUCAUCCACACUGAAGCCACACCCAGUGAGACAGACCACUUCCUGUUGCCUGCACAAGAUGUAGGACUCUCAGGUACUUCUCCAGCACCAUGUCUGCCUUCACACCAUCAUGUUGCACCAUCAAUGAUAAUGGACUAACCUCUGAAACUGAAACAAGUAAUGGUUCUUGGCAAAAUUAAUGAAGACCAGAUUUGAUUGGGGGAGACCUCCUGAAGACCUUGGUUACAGACAUGAAGAAAAAAAAAACAAGAAAAACUACAAGACAGGUGAUGUACAUGCCAAUUCCCUCUACAUGGGAACAGCUCUGAGACUGGAUAAGACAUGAUAAAUUUUAUUGGCUACAGAGUCAUAGAGACUUAUUACUAGAUGCCAUCCUUUCAUAUGGCAUGGAUAGAGGUUUGGUUAUACAAUCCAAACAGACUUAGAAAGUUAACAGAUGCCUUUUAUCUGCUCAGAGAACAAAAAAACACCUUUAGAUGACUUGUGCACACCAUACAUUCCAUACUUGUGUUAAUAUACACUCACACAUAUUUAUGCACAUAUACACACAGGUGUGUGUGAUAAGUGUGUGUAACCUUUAAAAGAUCAUGUGUUUUCAGAAGAAAAAGAACCAGACACCAAUGAAGACAAGUAGUCCAGGUGUUCCAGUCUCUUAGAAUGCUUCUGUUGCAGUUUCUUCAAAAUUCUACAUCCAGAACAAUUUCAAAGCUGCUAGCUGAGAUGGUCUAGCCUCACAGACUACUUCAACCAAGACUUCAGAUGAGCUCUGCACUUUCCCCUCACAGAGAAUAAACAAAAGUAAUACAGCUAGCUCUCCUAGGAUGUGACCAUUGUCCCAAUUUUCUCAGUGUUGUCUAGAGAUGCUGUUGCUCCCAGACAAUAGGAAGUAGCCUAGAGAACACAAUACCCACAUUCCCAAGAGGUGGGGUGGGUAAUCUUCGGUCAAUUGGUGGGUUAUGGAUGUGUGUCAUCAUAUAGGGGGAUGGUUACAAGUUGCUACUGGUCAUUGUCAGGAAAAACAAACAAACAAAGGAGAUUAGAUUCUGGGAUAUCUUUCUGAAAGGAAAAGUGGGGGAUUUGAUAUAGAAAUGAAGGGAUAAAAGGGUGAAUUGUUGAGUCUACUUUUGAACAACCACUAGUUUCAAAUAUUUUACAUUGUUGUUUUAGUAUAUUGAUACCAAUUUAAGGUUACUUUUGUUAUACUGUAUAUGUUUCUAUUCUUGUUUAAGGUAUUGUACCCAUACAGCUCACUCAAAAAUAUAAUGUAAAGUUCUAGUCUAUAGGCAGAAGUUUCUGUCCCUCCAGCAACUCCCAAAUACCCAGCAGCCGCUUCCCAAAUUAUUGACUUGUAGGCUUAAUAUUAAUUAUAAAUGCUCAGGCUUAUUACUAACUAGCUGUUAUGCUUAAAUUAACCCAUAAUUCUUAUCUAUGUUUAGCCACAUGACUUGGUAGCAUUUCUCAAUGUAGCAUUCUCAUCUUACUUCCUCUGCAUCUGGCUAGCUACUCCUGACUCUGCCCUUUCUCUUCCCAGAAUUCUCCUAGUCUGGAAGCCCCACCUAUACUUCCUGCCUGGCUACUGGCCAAUCAGGAUUAUAUUGAACCAAUUCUAGUGACAAAAUUUACAGUGUACAAGAGGAUCAUUCCAUAGCACUAGUCCUUGAAAGCUAUUUACGAUAAUAAAGAUAUACAAGUUAGUAGUUAGUCACCUAUAACAAUCAUACUUAUAGUCAUGUUAGGUAUGUUUUCAAGGUCAAACAGAGAUACAUUUCCAAUAAAUAAAUGGUCUUCAAACACUUCAAACACCUACAGAAUAUGCCAUUUAAAAUGUUUUAAUAACCUAAGGCUUUUCAUGACAGUGAGGCAUGUCUACUCCUGAGAGCACAAAUUUAUUUAAAAAGGGAGGAUAGGCAUCCUCCAUAUGUAUCCUCCAUACAUACUCUAUGUGGAGUUUGCUUUCAAUAGGGCAAAGCUAGUCAUUUGGGCAAGAAACUGCCCUUGCCUUGAGUGUUGACAGUAUGCUGUCCAAAUUGGACAAGAAGGACACAAAAAAGGUGGUUGCCAAACUUUGCCAAGACAAGGUGAAACAUUCCUUCAAAAAUUCCUACUUUGCAAAAAGUCUAUCAGAUAGCCUAGGCUUGUAGGCUGAAAUUGGAUGCCAUAACAUUGCAGAGGAACCUUGGGUUACUGCCCAGGAAGCCAGAUGUCUGUUGUUUCUAAAGCUUUGGAAGUUGCUUUCUCUGCACUUCCUGUUUAAUCGGGUAAUAUAUCCUUCUCAGAUCUCUGAUGGAGAUUGAAAACUAGAUAGUUAUACAGCCUUCUUUGUUAUCAAAUUCAGAAGAAAACUUACAUAAAAGGUGUAAAGUUUAUAAGGUUGAGAAACAUCAAAGCAUAAGUUUUUAAUCUAAGACAAUGUUUUUAGGUCUAAAAAGAUAUUCUAGGUUGGUAACACAAGUUAUGAUAAAAAGUGAAUUAGGUACAAAACUUUGGACUCACCAAGACAGGAUAGAUAAUGGAGUAUUUUCUCCAAAUUUUUCAAACACUAAUGGACUGGACAUUGUGAAUGUAAUUCUUACCUGCUAAUUGUUCUUAUUGUAUAUAGAUUUAUUGUGUUAGAGUUUAAAAAAAUUUCCCUUUUAUUUAGACAAAAAGGGGGAAAUGUUGUGGGAUGUUUGUACACUGUUUGAAGAUAUAUUGCUGUGAUUGGUAUAAUAAAGAGCUGAACAGUCAAUAGCUUGGCAGGAGGUAUAGGCGGGACUUCUAGGCAGAGAGAGAAGAAGUGGAAGAUGAAUCCAUGUAUGCAAGAGACAUUAAGAGACACAGAGAGGAAACAGGAGGUGGGAGAUGGAAGAGAGGUAAUGCCACGUGAUAGAAGGUAGAUUAACAUAAAUGAAUUAAUUUAAGUUAUAAGAGCUAAUUAUGAUAAGCCUAAGCUAUAGGCCAAGUUUUCAUAAUUAAUAAUAAGUCUCUAUGUUGUUAGUUGUGAGCUGGUAGUCCCAACAAAAAAUUACUGCUGCAGGAUGCUGUGAAGGUGAAGCCUGGAUGUGGUGGUAUUGUGUUCCCCAAAAUAUUGUGCAUGCUAAUAAACUUAUCUGGGGUCAGAGAACAGGACAGGCACAAUAUUAAACACAGUCAGUGGUAGCACACACCUUUAAUCCUAGCAUUCCAGAGGCAGAAAUCCCUCUGGAUCUCUGUGAGUUCAAGGCCACAUUGGAAACAGCCAGGCAUGGUGACUCAUGCCUUUAAUCCCAGAAAGUGAACCUUUAAUCCCAGGGAGUAAGGCAGAAAGCAGAAAGAUAUAUAAAGCAUGAGGACCAGAAACAAGAAGCAUUUGGCUGGUUAAGUUUUCAGGCUUUUGAGUAGCAGUUCAGCUGAGAUUCAUUCUGGAUGAGGACUCAAGAGGCUUCCAGUCUGAGGAAACAGGCCCAGCUGUGGAACUGGCAAGUUGAGGUAGCUGUGGCUUGUUCUGUCUCUCUGAUCUUCCAGCUUUCACUCCAAUACCUGGCUCAGGUUUGAUUUUAUUAAUAAGACCUUCUAAGACUUUUGCUACACCUGGAUUGCCUUGGAGACCCCAAGAUGUCGGAGAUGCCAGAGGCAUGGGAUACCUGCUGAGGAGAGCUGCUAACAGGGAGUGGAACCAGCCCAAGAGAAAGAAGUAUGUUGUAGUCAAUAAAGCUGAAAAGAAAAUGGAGAUCUGAAGAAUGUUUUGACAUCAGACAUGGAGAUGCAGAGUUUGGAAUUUGCCCAGCUGGCUUUUGGUCUUGCUUUGGUCCAGUAUUUCCUCACUUUCCUAGCUGCUCUAUCUUUUAGAAUGGUGAUUUAUAUACAGUGCCAUUAUAUGUUGGAAGUAUAUGAUGUGCUUUUGGUUUUGAUUUUUAUAGGGGAUUACAUUAAGAGAUUGCAUUAAUCUCAGAAGAGACUUUGAACUUUGACUUUAAAAUAAAUUUGAGACUGUUAUAGACUACGA
This is a long non-coding RNA of Peromyscus californicus insignis, 4311 nucleotides long. RefSeq lists it as uncharacterized. Lineage: Eukaryota; Metazoa; Chordata; Mammalia; Rodentia; Cricetidae. The transcript has 3 exons. The record is from RefSeq and is a predicted model, not a curated record.